RNAcentral lists this long non-coding RNA (2376 nucleotides) under Marmota monax (woodchuck). Lineage: Eukaryota; Metazoa; Chordata; Mammalia; Rodentia; Sciuridae. The record is from RNAcentral.
CACCGUGAUUCGCAGCAUGUCCUGAGUACCCAGGAACUGCAGGUGAGGGGCAGUGGUGGCACAUGUGGUGCCCACUGGGCAGCCUCUCAGGGGAGGACUUCUCUGGGCUCAGGUGAUCAAGGAGGAUCUGGAGAGGAGGCUGUUGGAGCCACUGACAGCCCCCUACACAACCCUCCACUGUACCAUGCUGACCAAAAUCAAGAGCUAUGCUCCAUAGCUUUCCCUAAGGUCACUACUAAUAAGCAGCUGAGCAGGAACAGCAGGGGGCCCAGGACCUCUGGGACCCUGUGACCACUACCCCCUGGACCCGCUCUCUCUCUGAGACCAACUUGAAGCCUGGGCCCCAGCCCCUCCUGCCUACAUUCUUAUCGGGCCGACCUACUGACAAUUCUGGCCCCUUCUCUCCACGGGUCCCCCCACUGUCCCUGCCGCCUCAGUCCUGUUGGCAGCUCACCCUCAGCAUGCAGAAGGCUCUGGAAGCUCAUCCGUCUCACACUUCGUCUGCGCUCUCCAGGGUGGUGAACCCCAAACCAUGGGUCCCCGCCUGCAGGCCCUGCAGCCUGCUGGUGCUGCCUGUUACUGGGCCUCCUGCUCCACUCUGCCCUGCCCUGCUGUGGGCUGACCUCCGGCCCUCGCUGGUCCUGCAAGCCCGGCUCCUCAGGGCGGCUUUUCCGGAGCCAGCAGGCCUUUCACAGGCAGCCCAUCACCCGCCUUGUCUAACCACCGCUGUCCAGCAUCCUGCCUACAUGUUCGUCCCAGAGACCUCAGGCCACUCCGAUGUGCUUGCCCUGAGCCUUUCCCAGAAGGCACAGUGCAGGUCUCUACCACAGCCCCUGUCCCUUCCCCCUCCUUGAGAACCCCUGCGUGCCCUUGCCUUGGAGCUGUGAGCAACGGCCUCCUCCUCUAAGGCAGUGGCCUCCGUGGUCACCUGCUAUACCCAAUUCACAUGAAGCCUAAAUCCCCAGCUUCUCUCCUGCCAGGGCCCACUGUGCUCCCCUUCUGUGUCCAGAGGACAGACAGAGAACACGGGGUCCCAGGGUGUGGUGACAGCACCACACAGUCCCACUGGGGACGCAGUAGCAGGCAGCGAGUGCCAAAGACAGUGCUGCGGGGCUGCCUCCUGGGUGGGCAAAGCUUUGCAUCUUGUCAGGCAGCCUGGCGUGGACAGCCUCAGGGUCCGAGGGGGCAGAGCGCCCAGGAGUAGCUGCAUGGGCCAGGCCACAUGCUCUCUGCAAGGCGGGCAAGCCAGUGGGCAGUGAGGGGGCACUUGGGGCUGGCAGGACAGUGUGUGCCUUUGGAGGCUGGCUACCCUUCCCACCCUCAGAAGACAUCCGUGUGCCGAGAGAGCGGGGCAAGCAGGAGACCCACCUGUCAAGAAGCAGGGCAUGGCGGGCGUCCUGUCUACUCAGGGUCAGCAACCUGAGCCCUGGGCCUGCCCCUGUCUCUAGAUGAAGCCUACUGAGACAGAGCUCCUAAACCUCCUCGCUAAGGACCUGCCUUGGGCCAGCAUGGCCCGGCCAAAUCGUGAGCGCACUUCACUGGCCUUUAGUCCCACACACUGCCCCCUCUGUAGGACCAGCCCCCUCUCCCAGCGUGAUGGUUUUCCUCUUGAUGUGGUUUGCCUAUUUCUACGCAGGCAAGGGGCCGAGCUGCCAAGGGGACCUAGGUAGCUCCCAGGCUGGCUGUGGGACAUUCCUGUGGAACAUUGUCCACUUACUGCCAUGCCACCUGUGGCCAGUUUCUCCACAGAAAGGCAGGGAUGAGAAGGCUCCAGAGAAGCAGAGCAUUCACUUCCUGACCUCUGCAGAGAACACCUGUGCCCCAGCCCCCUCCCGCAAGGAAGCCCUGUGUGGCCACUGGGUGGUUCUUGUGGGGUUCUCAGCAAUGGCCAAUGCCUCCGUCACACCUCAGCUUCAAACACGCCAGCCACCAAGCAGUGCAGACAGGUUACCUGGCUGGAAGCACACACGAGCAGGAGCCAAGCGCAGAGUGCUGACUCUAGCAGUAGCCUCUCCUCCCAAGCAGGUCACCAGUGACCUUCUUUUGUUCCCAUUUCCCCUCCAAACAUCAUGCACAAGCCGUGCUCGGGACGCUACCUGAGAGCCGCUGCCAUGCCCACUUGUCUGGGUGUCAGGCUGGGAUGUGGAGGGCCUGGGUAGGAGACGCUGCCUGUGGGGGAAAGACACAAGGUGCUGGAGGGCGGUGCUGCAGGCUGCCUCCUGGGUGGGCAGGCUUUGUGCCUUGCCAGGGAGCCGGGAUGCAUCAGGUCCCUGGAGGCCAGGCUUCUCCAGCUGUUGCGAGGCUGAUGACAGGCAGCACCACACACCCCCUUCCUGCCCGCCCGCACCCUGAGUGUGCAGCAGCCGGAGUUCCUCC